UACGUAGGGGGCAAGCGUUAUCCGGAUUUACUGGGUGUAAAGGGAGCGUAGACGGCAGGGCAAGUCUGAAGUGAAAGCCCGCGGCCCAACUGCGGGACCGCUUUGGAAACUGCCCGGCUAGAGUGCUGGAGAGGUAAGCGGAAUUCCUAGUGUAGCGGUGAAAUGCGUAGAUAUUAGGAGGAACACCAGUGGCGAAGGCGGCUUACUGGACAGUAACUGACGUUGAGGCUCGAAAGCGUGGGGAGCAAACAGG
This 253-nucleotide ribosomal RNA is filed under the name uncultured bacterium. Its description in RNAcentral is "partial 16S ribosomal RNA". It matches the Rfam family "Bacterial small subunit ribosomal RNA", at positions 524 to 776 of the family's 1533-position model. The record is from RNAcentral.